UGGGGAAUAUUGGACAAUGGGGGCAACCCUGAUCCAGCAAUGCCGCGUGUGUGAAGAAGGUCUUCGGAUUGUAAAGCACUUUCGACGGGGACGAUGAUGACGGUACCCGUAGAAGAAGCCCGGCUAACUUCGUGCCAGCAGCCGCGGUAAUACGAAGGGGGCUAGCGUUGCUCGGAAUGACUGGGCGUAAAGGGCGUGUAGGCGGUUUACACAGUCAGAUGUGAAAUCCCCGGGCUUAACCUGGGAGCUGCAUUUGAUACGUGUAGACUAGAGUGUGAGAGAGGGUUGUGGAAUUCCCAGUGUAGAGGUGAAAUUCGUAGAUAUUGGGAAGAACACCGGUGGCGAAGGCGGCAACCUGGCUCAUGACUGACGCUGAGGCGCGAAAGCGUGGGGAGCAAACA
This 401-nucleotide ribosomal RNA is filed under the name uncultured bacterium. RNAcentral's name for it is "partial 16S ribosomal RNA". It matches the Rfam family "Bacterial small subunit ribosomal RNA", at positions 355 to 774 of the family's 1533-position model. The record is from RNAcentral.